AUCCUAAUCUAUAAGUCUCCUAUUUUUAGAGAUGGACGUUAACUUUUUUGUGAAUAGCCUAGUUGACGUGUCUUCUAUUUUUAGGAACCAAGAAUG
This 96-nucleotide unclassified non-coding RNA is filed under the name Populus trichocarpa (black cottonwood). RNAcentral describes it as "precursor microRNA ptr-MIR478d". Lineage: Eukaryota; Viridiplantae; Streptophyta; Magnoliopsida; Malpighiales; Salicaceae. The record is from RNAcentral.